RNAcentral lists this ribosomal RNA (192 nucleotides) under Leptoscelis tricolor. RNAcentral describes it as "partial small subunit ribosomal RNA". The stretch from base 30 to 192 matches the Rfam family "Eukaryotic small subunit ribosomal RNA", at positions 749 to 907 of the family's 1831-position model. Lineage: Eukaryota; Metazoa; Arthropoda; Insecta; Hemiptera; Coreidae. The record is from RNAcentral.
CUUUACCGAGUGUCGAGGUAGGCCGACACUGUUUACUUUGAACAAAUUAGAGUGCUUAAAGCAGGCUCUUAAAUCAGCCUGAAUAGACGUGCAUGGAAUAAUGGAACAGGACCUUGGUUCUAUUUUGUUGGUUUUCGGAAUCCAAGGUAAUGAUCAAUAAGGACAGGCGGGGGCAUUCGUAUUGCGACGUUA